This is a long non-coding RNA of Ochotona curzoniae (black-lipped pika), 1481 nucleotides long. RefSeq lists it as uncharacterized. The transcript is spliced from 2 exons. The record is from RefSeq and is a predicted model, not a curated record. Lineage: Eukaryota; Metazoa; Chordata; Mammalia; Lagomorpha; Ochotonidae.
GAUUAGAACCGGUACUCAUAUGGGAUCCUGACGCGUUCGAGGUCCUGUGGAGGCUGGAGUCAUCAACAAGCCAAGAUACUGUACAGUGCACUCGAGAAAGAGGAUGGCCCUGGAAUCUUCUCAGAACAUAAACCAGUAUUCAACGUUCUUGUGUCAUCAAGCCACCGGGCAGGAGCCAGGACUGAUCCAUUAUUCAGUCAGCAUCCACGGUACUUUCAGAGCAGAUGCUGCAGAGGGCACAGCUUCUCCAGAAAUAAGAAGGAGCCUUUCCCCUUGAUAGUGGAAUCAGCCACAACUAGGAACCAGCCCUUCUUGUGCCUCUGUGCCUGCAGUGAAAAUACAGUAGCUGUAUGGACAAAAAGAGAAGCCAUGAAUCCAAGCUGGCCUUUGCUUCUUGGGGUCCCUGCCUCCACUCGGAGAAAAUCCUGCCUUUUGUGGAGCUCUGAAGUCCUCAGUCGGAAAGGCCUCGUGCGGCAGGAACCCCAAUGUGAGCCAAGGCCGUCAGCAUGUGAGCAAGUAGAAAAUCAGACAACACUUCAUUGCUGUCUUGCUCACUGGGAACAUUCUAGUCAUGGUGUAAAGCGAUGAGCAGUCGCUUCCAGCAUGGAAUUUAUGUCUCAUGUCUUUCCGAGGGAGCAGGAGCAGUUUGAACUCCCGGAGUGAUGUGAAGUUCUCCAAGUUUAAAGCUAUUACAAAAAACCACCUAUUUGUUCUACUUGAUGUCACACAAGUAGAGGAGAGGAAGGGUGGUGGGUUCUAUAAGUUAUAAAAAUCACUAAUACACAAACAUGGGGGGAAAUGCUAGCAAACACACUGAACAGAAGCACUAGAUCUGUAAUAUCAGCCAGCAGGAUUAUGCCAAGACAAUGCACUAAUUUGUGCCCAAGGACCAGUAGGUGCAGAGCUGUGACUUGAGACUUCCACGGGUAGAUUAUGGAAGACACUUGAUUCUUACCAUUACUUUGGCUUGGAUUAAAACCCAUGAGCUUCUAACUUGUCUUAUAAAAUAUGACAAAAUAAUACUUUGCCAAUGGUUUAUCUUUCCGAAGGCUGUAACCCUGUUUGGACCCACUCACAAUAACCAAGUCCCUUGACUGGGCUCCGUGAACGCCAAGACUGAGAGGCCCUCAGCUGAGCUUCCCAGGAAGUUCAAAUCCCGUGUGUAGAUGCUAUUCCAGGUGCACUCCUGCGAGGCUGCCCAAGGAGCAUGCUGGUUCACCCAGGAGCCAGCAGGAAAAGAGGGGAGCAGGUUGUUUGCUUGGCAGAAAAUCAAUUCACCAGUUGAUCAAUCUGUCUGAAAGCUGAGCCAGAACGCUGGCUGGUGAGACUGAAGAAUGACAGAUCUCAUAAUAUAUGCCGUCUGUAGCAUUACAUGAAUCACGGAGUGACAGCAACAGGCUUGAGGAAUUUUCUUGUGUUUUGCUUGUCCACGUAUUUCAUUGAGCGAUCGAUCCUCAGCUAUUUCUCAAUAAACUUGCCAC